GACAGAGGGUGCAAACGUUGUUCGGAAUUACUGGGCGUAAAGCGUGUGUAGGCGGCUUUGCAAGUCGGAUGUGAAAGCCCCGGGCUCAACCCGGGAAGUGCACUCGAUACUGCAGGGCUAGAGUGUGGGAGAGGUUGGUGGAAUUCUCGGUGUAGAGGUGAAAUUCGUAGAUAUCGAGAGGAACAUCGGCGGCGAAGGCGGCCAACUGGACCACUACUGACGCUGAGACACGAAAGCGUGGGGAGCAAACAG
RNAcentral lists this ribosomal RNA (252 nucleotides) under uncultured bacterium. RNAcentral describes it as "partial 16S ribosomal RNA". It matches the Rfam family "Bacterial small subunit ribosomal RNA", at positions 524 to 775 of the family's 1533-position model. The record is from RNAcentral.